Molecule: small RNA, 179 nt
Filed under: Sphenodon punctatus (tuatara)
Lineage: Eukaryota; Metazoa; Chordata; Lepidosauria; Sphenodontia; Sphenodontidae
Description: TUC338 (ENSSPUG00000003165.1)
Source: RNAcentral
UUGACAGCUUGGAAGACUGAAGUCCUGUGUUUAAUCCACAGACCAAGUACAGCAUGGGCAGCAGCAAUACAAGCUUCCCCACAUCACUCCGCCAAUGUGCCUCAACUCUGACCUGGAGGGACCAUCUCUAGGGGUGAGAGGGUAGUUCAUUCUACAUGCUGAUUCUGUCCAUGGAGUUC